Non-coding RNA from Arachis ipaensis, 1673 nucleotides. NCBI's taxonomy places the organism in Eukaryota, Viridiplantae, Streptophyta, Magnoliopsida, Fabales, Fabaceae. The record is from RefSeq and is a predicted model, not a curated record.
UAUAUUUUGUUUUUCAAAAGUGCACGUCGUUAUAUGAAAUAUCAACACAUCAAAGCAAUACUCCAUCCAAUGUUUUGAAAAUCAGACCUGACCGAUCGGUCGGACCGGUCCAAACCUAAAACGGCAGCUUUUAAAGUUCGGUUUUUAGGUAAAACCUCUAACUCAAAAAUCGGCUACAAACUACUAAACUGGCCAAGAACCGGCUAGUCAGACCUAACCAUAACCCAGCCGGUUCAAAUGAAAUGACGCCGUUUCGCUUAGAAAACAUUCUGAAAGCAUGUGCGUGCCCCCCCAAGCCCUAGAGCCCUUUCUCCCUUCUCCUUCCUUCUCCCGGUCCCCAAAGAAAAAUGAAAGCCCUAGCCUCUACCACCGCCGCAUCCGUUGUGCUCAACCCUAGCUUCCAUCGUCGCUGCCAUUCUUCUCAUUGUCUUCGUCCCUGUGGUCCAGUCGUCUCUCCAUGUCCAACCGGUCGCCUCCAACCCCUUUGUACACUCGCCUCACUUAACACCGCCCGUUGGGCUCAGGCACCACCGUCCGUCACGCUUAGGCACAACAGUCCAACAGUCCAACCCCUCUCCAACAGUCAGUCGCUAGUCUUCCUUUCGAAUCCGAAACGACUCUCUUCGUCACCACCAUGCAAGGAGAUCACAUAAAAUGUCACAGAAAGUAAUUUCUGCUCCAUGGAACUCUCGCUCCUUGCGAUUUGCGAUAUGCUCGUCCUUGGUGUUCUUGCUCCUUCUCCCUCAAUCGCUGCUCUGAAAUCCUGAAUCUUUAUUUUUUAAUUAUUUUUUUUGUAAGUAAUUUCUUGCGGAUCUCUGUUUUGAAUUUUCUUAGAUUUUUUGAAUCAAUAUAAUUUAGUUUGUUCGUUCAUUAUCAAUGAUUUAAUUGCAGAGUGAGUUCUAUUACUGGUGAUGAGUAAUGAACAUUAUUGAACUGUUCUUGUUAUGAGUAAUGAUUUUCUUAGGUUCUCUGUUAUGAGUAAUUUAUAUUAUUUUUUUACAGUAAUUAUGGAACUAUUCUUGCUAUUCAGAUGUUGUAUUUUUUUAUUUAAUUAUCUAGUAUUGUGUUUAUUGUUGUUGCUGAUUAUUGGUGUUUGUUCUUGAUAGUUCUGAUUGUUGAUUUUUGUUCACUGCUGAUUUUGUUCUUAUUAUUCUUGAUUGGUAGUAGUGGUGGAGCAGAUGGAGCUUGUAGGGGUAGGGAGCUAAAGUCGCCACAUUUGGAUUUUGGAAAUGCUCCUUUGAGGAUCUUGCAGUAUAUUUUGCUCAUGACUGAUGAUAUUUUCUGCCUUGCAUUAAUUUGAAAAUUUGAUGUUUAUUUGUUGUGCUACUGUUUCUCAUGCUGUUUUUGCAUUCUCAUGCUUUGUGCAGCAUAAUUUUUUGCCUUUUCUGUUUGUGCUUUGAUUAUUUAAUUAAAGAAUUGCUCCUAAUAAAAUUAAAAGAGAUGUUUGAGAGAAAUGAAUGAAUCACCAUUGAGAGUGUGUGAUCCAACAAAGUAGAAGUAGUUGAAGGUUUUUGAAUAUGGCUAUUCUCUUUUGAUUUUGAUGAUUAAUAACAAAUUUUAAUGUCUUUGAUAUUUGGAUAUUUAUUUAGUUUGUAUUUAGAUGAGAUUAUAACACUUUGGUGAUAUAAUAUUUUUAAUUUGGGUAACAUUUUAAGAUUUAUGUUAGAAUAUAA